Molecule: transfer RNA, 74 nt
Filed under: Clostridiales bacterium
Lineage: Bacteria; Bacillati; Bacillota; Clostridia; Eubacteriales
Description: tRNA-Ile
Rfam family: tRNA
About the family: Transfer RNA (tRNA) molecules are approximately 80 nucleotides in length.
Source: RNAcentral
UGUAGCUUCUUUCAAAGGUAGGAAGCCCGUCUGAUACGCGGGUAAUGACAGUUCGAUUCUGUCAGCUACAACCA